This 497-nucleotide ribosomal RNA is filed under the name uncultured bacterium. Its description in RNAcentral is "partial 16S ribosomal RNA". It matches the Rfam family "Bacterial small subunit ribosomal RNA", at positions 28 to 507 of the family's 1533-position model. The record is from RNAcentral.
GAUGAACGCUGGCGGCGUGCCUAAUACAUGCAAGUCGAGCGAACAGACGAGGAGCUUGCUCCUCUGACGUUAGCGGCGGACGGGUGAGUAACACGUGGAUAACCUACCUAUAAGACUGGGAUAACUUCGGGAAACCGGAGCUAAUACCGUAUAAUAUAUUGAACCGCAUGGUUCAAUAGUGAAAGACGGUUUUGCUGUCACUUAUAGAUGGAUCCGCGCCGCAUUAGCUAGUUGGUAAGGUAACGGCUUACCAAGGCAACGAUGCGUAGCCGACGUGAGAGGGUGAUCGGCCACACUGGAACUGAGACACGGUCCAGACUCCUACGGGAGGCAGCAGUAGGGAAUCGUACGCAAUGGGCGAAAGCCUGACGGAGCAACGCCGCGUGAGUGAUGACGGUCUUCGGAUCGUAAAACUCUGUUAUUAGGGAAGAACAAAUGUGUAAGUAGCUAUGCACGUCUUGACGGUACCUAAUCAGAAAGCCACGGCUAACUACGUG